AUUGAACGCUGGCGGCAGGCCUAACACAUGCAAGUCGAACGGAGAGGCGGACGGGUGAGUAAUGCCUAGGAGACUGUCUGGUAGUGAGGGAUAACGUCCGGAAAAGGGCGCUCAUACCGCAUACUACAAGAGGAGUCUAGGUCGGAUUAGCGAGUUGGUGGGGUAAAGGCCUACCAAGGCGACGAUCCGUAACUGGUCUGAGAGGAUGAUCAGUCACACUGGAACUGAGACACGGUCCAGACUCCUACGGGAGGCAGCAGUGGGGAAUAUUGGACAAUGGGCGAAAGCCUGAUCCAGCCAUGCCGCGUGUGUGAAGAAGGUCUUCGGAUUGUAAAGCACUUUAAGUUGGGAGGCGUUACCAGCAGAAUAAGCACCGGCUAACUCCGUGCCAGCAGCCGCGGUAAUUC
Molecule: ribosomal RNA, 407 nt
Filed under: uncultured bacterium
Lineage: Bacteria
Description: partial 16S ribosomal RNA
Rfam family: Bacterial small subunit ribosomal RNA
Source: RNAcentral